CUAUAAUUAGUGUAGGGCAAGCAAAUUUGUAUUUUGGGGGUAUAGAUCUUCUAUUGUAUA
This 60-nucleotide transfer RNA is filed under the name Pachycephus smyrnensis. Its description in RNAcentral is "tRNA-Pro". Lineage: Eukaryota; Metazoa; Arthropoda; Insecta; Hymenoptera; Cephidae. The record is from RNAcentral.